UGAGGGAAUAUUGGGUCAAUGGACGAGAGUCUGAACCAGCCAAGUAGCGUGAAGGAUGAAGGUCCUACGGAUUGUAAACUUCUUUUAUAAGGGAAUAAACCCUCCCACGUGUGGGAGCUUGUAUGUACCUUAUGAAUAAGCAUCGGCUAACUCCGUGCCAGCAGCCGCGGUAAUACGGAGGAUGCGAGCGUUAUCCGGAUUUAUUGGGUUUAAAGGGAGCGCAGACGGGUCGUUAAGUCAGCUGUGAAAGUUUGGGGCUCAACCUUAAAAUUGCAGUUGAUACUGGCGUCCUUGAGUGCGGUUGAGGUGUGCGGAAUUCGUGGUGUAGCGGUGAAAUGCUUAGAUAUCACGAAGAACUCCGAUUGCGAAGGCAGCACACUAAUCCGUAACUGACGUUCAUGCUCGAAAGUGUGGGUAUCAAACAGGAUUAGAUACCCUGGUAGU
RNAcentral lists this ribosomal RNA (444 nucleotides) under uncultured Bacteroides sp. RNAcentral's name for it is "bacterial SSU rRNA". It matches the Rfam family "Bacterial small subunit ribosomal RNA", at positions 354 to 794 of the family's 1533-position model. The record is from RNAcentral. Lineage: Bacteria; Pseudomonadati; Bacteroidota; Bacteroidia; Bacteroidales; Bacteroidaceae.